CCCUAACUCCACUCCUCCCUCGUCCUCUCUCUCGCCGCCGCAACCAAACCCUAACUCCACUCCUCUCCCCUCUCUCUCUCGAUUCAGAUGCACUCCUCGCAGCCGCCACCCCAAUUCAGCUGAUCCCACCGCCAGCGCCCGCACGCCACCACUCGCUCCUCCUCGCCUUCUAGAUCAUGCUGCCACCUCCCUCCCCAUCCCCUCCUGGAUCUCUCCCUCGGUGAGCCACCGGCGAGCCCCUCUACUACCCGCGCACGCACAACCUAGGCUCCUGCUGCUCCCCAUCGACCCCGAUGCUCCUACUCCAGCCGGCAUCUGGCGGAGCAUCGCCACUCCGACCCCCUCCCUUCCCCACACGCUCCUCUCGAUCCCGUCCCCUCCCUCCCUGUCGUCUUGUCCUUGCGACGCCCACCCUCCACCAGGCCCUCCGCCAGCCCGAGCCCCUCGCUCCCUUCUCCACCAGGCCAUCCACCUUCGCUCGACUUGACCAUGUCGUCGUGGGGGAUGGGGUUGUUGGGCUCAUGGCCGAGCUCUACAAGGUGGAGCUCGUGCGCGCCCACGACGAUCCUGAGCGCAACGCUGACUUCUGCUUCCUCUAGUACGCGUACGCCAAGGCCGCGGUGGAGCGCGCCGCGCAGGUCAACGGCGUAGGUCGCGGGCAUGGCGGAGCCCAUCCAUCCACCCAUCUUCCCCAAAGUUUCCUUUGACAAGUAGCAGCAGCGGAAGGCGAUGGCAACGAACGUGCAGAUGGGCGGCGGCUCUCUCUCAUCAACAACACCUUCUACUCCAACAAGGAGAUCUUCCUCCGCGAGCUCAUCUCCAACUCAUCAGAUGCGCUUGACAAGAUCAGGCUCGAGAGCCUGAAGGACAAGAGCAAGCUCGACGCCAGCCGGAGCUCUUCAUCCGCCUCAUCCCCGAUAAGCCCAACAAGACGCUCUCCAUCAUCGACAGCGGCGUUGGCAUGACAAAAUCAGAUUCCCUACACGUGUGUAUCUAUCAAGUCAUCUUACUAGUGGCUGUUCAAUUGACCUUGAUCAUGCAAGAACGUCACUGGAUUCUGGAAUCUGACCGAGAUCCCGCCGGAGCUCUUCAACUCGAUGGAUCUGGUCAUGUUAACUCCGUGUCCUACUUCUCGACGGAAGCUGCAUCCUUCCCCAGUAGGCUGCCAAUGGCUGCGUGCCUGCGCCCUGCUGCUUCUGCGCCGGUGUCGACCACCGCACCCAGUCACCACGGCCAGUGGCAGCAGUCUCCUCGGCGGAUGGCAGUGUGUAGGUGUGCACCCUGGCACUGGGGACUAGAGACGUGCAGCAUAGAAGGCCAGCAGCUAGGAGCUGAGCAACUGUACACAGAGCCGGAGGUGUCGGAGCAACAGCGAGCAACGGACCUUUUCUCGCAGAAGGUGAAUAGGUCAUAGUUCAGCACGUGGGACAAAGUUCUUCAGCUGUCAGACGAGGUGGAGGCACGCUUCCUGUAGUACUUUGCGAGUAAUGACUCGAGAUGGUGGCCUCUAUUCAUGUUUGUCAUGAGCUCCAGGAUGAAGAAGUUGGAAGAAGCAAUGCAUGAUGGAUCUAGGAGCAGUAUAAUGCUGAUUUGUAAACUUGUUGUAAUGCUAAUUCAGGUUGUAAUGCUGAUUGUAUGUGUCAUCCUUCAUUGUACACUUGUGGAGCUUGUUAUAUAAUUGUAAACUUGAUGCUGAUCACAUUGUAUGUGUGUUAUAUGAUAUAGCACUUUGAUGG
Molecule: long non-coding RNA, 1736 nt
Organism: Triticum dicoccoides
Lineage: Eukaryota; Viridiplantae; Streptophyta; Magnoliopsida; Poales; Poaceae
Exons: 6
Source: RefSeq, a predicted model, not a curated record